CACGUUCCUCAGGGGUAGAUGUUGUCACAGAUGAAAACACGGAACUCAGGACACUAAACACCGUAGCCGGGCCAGCCAGAUGCAUGGCAGAGCCAGGAGCUCCACCCUCUCUGCUGGCCCAAAGCGGAUGCCCAGCUUGGAGCUUUAGGGACAGCGCGGCCAGCGGAGGGCUCUAGACCACGGACUCCAAGCCCAAGCAACCCCUGCGCUGCCUGGAACCACAGCAGACUCCCAGGGCCGGCUCCGGGGACGGCCACCGCUGAGCUGUCUCCGUCAUUCCCCCAGCACCCACGCACAGUACCGCCCCUUCCCACCCUCCAGAUCCUCUCAUGACCCCGUGCCCCCUCAGCCACCAUGCCCUGUCUCUGGGCCCCUGCAGAGUUCUCCCAGCCUUCCUGUCUCCCAGGUUUCUCCUGAUGCCUCCUUGCAGCCCCUCCUCCAAUUGCUAGAUCUUACCCCUAAAAGCUCUUGUCCCAACAACAGCCUUUGUGCUUUCUCUGCCACUCCUCUCUGGCCUCAUCUCCCUCCCCUCAUCUCUCUUUUGGCCAAUCCAAUGCCUGUGGCUCUGACGUGCCCGAUUCCCACUACCUCAGGGCCUUUGCACUGGUGGUCUCUGCCUGGAGGAUUCUUUUUUCUCGCUACCUGGAUGUUUUACUUUCCCCUUUCCUUCAACUGUCCUCUCAAAGAACUCUUCUCAGCGAGCCUUUCCCAGACCACUAUUUUAAAAUAGAAAUAGAGCCAGGUGUAGUGCCAUGUAUCUAAGCCCCAGGUAUUUGGGAGGCUGAGGCAAGAGGGUCCCUUGAGCCCAGGGUUCCAGAGCAACCUCAACAGCAGAGCAAGACCCUGCCUGAGAAAGAAAAGGAAAGAAAGGAAGGAAGAGGGCAUAGAAAAUAUAAAUGCCCUCUUCUAACAUCCCCUACGUCCCCUCUUUGCUUAUUUCUCGGUGUGGCCCCUGUCGCUGCCUAAUGCACUAGAACUUACCUACAGGACUGCUCCACUGAGGCCCACCCCAAGGGCAGAGCUGUGU
This 1027-nucleotide long non-coding RNA is filed under the name Marmota monax (woodchuck). Lineage: Eukaryota; Metazoa; Chordata; Mammalia; Rodentia; Sciuridae. The record is from RNAcentral.